UACGUAGGUGGCAAGCGUUGUCCGGAUUUACUGGGCGUAAAGCGCACGCAGGCGGUCUGUCAAGUCGGAUGUGAAAUCCCCGGGCUCAACCUGGGAACUGCAUUCGAAACUGGCAGGCUGGAGUCUCGUAGAGGGAGGUAGAAUUCCAGGUGUAGCGGUGAAAUGCGUAGAGAUAUGGAGGAAUACCGGUGGCGAAGGCGGCCUCCUGGACGAAGACUGACGCUCAGGUGCGAAAGCGUGGGGAGCAAACAGGAUUAGAUACCCUGGUAGUCCACGCCGUAAACGAUGUCGAUUUGGAGGUUGUGCCCUUGAGGCGUGGCUUCCGGAGCUAACGCGUUAAGUCGACCACCUGGGGAGUACGGCCGCAAGGUUAAA
Molecule: ribosomal RNA, 375 nt
Filed under: uncultured bacterium
Lineage: Bacteria
Description: bacterial SSU rRNA
Rfam family: Bacterial small subunit ribosomal RNA
Source: RNAcentral